Molecule: ribosomal RNA, 248 nt
Filed under: uncultured bacterium
Lineage: Bacteria
Description: partial 16S ribosomal RNA
Rfam family: Bacterial small subunit ribosomal RNA
Source: RNAcentral
AGGGUGCAAGCGUGAAUCGGAAUUACUGGGCGUAAAGCGCGCGUAGGUGGUUCGUUAAGUUGGAUGUGAAAGCCCCGGGCUCAACCUGGGAACUGCAUUCAAAACUGACGAGCUAGAGUAUGGUAGAGGGUGGUGGAAUUUCCUGUGUAGCGGUGAAAUGCGUAGAUAUAGGAAGGAACACCAGUGGCGAAGGCGACCACCUGGACUGAUACUGACACUGAGGUGCGAAAGCGUGGGGAGCAAACAGG